CGGAGAGUUUGAUCCUGGCUCAGGAUGAACGCUGGCGGCGUGCCUAAUACAUGCAAGUCGAACGCUUUGUGGUUCAACUGAUUUGAAGAGCUUGCUCAGAUAUGACGAUGGACAUUGCAAAGAGUGGCGAACGGGUGAGUAACACGUGGGAAACCUACCCCUUAGCAGGGGAUAACAUUUGGAAACAGAUGCUAAUACCGUAUAACAAUAGCAACCGCAUGGUUGCUACUUAAAAGAUGGUUCUGCUAUCACUAAGAGAUGGUCCCGCGGUGCAUUAGUUAGUUGGUGAGGUAAUGGCUCACCAAGACGAUGAUGCAUAGCCGAGUUGAGAGACUGAUCGGCCACAAUGGGACUGAGACACGGCCCAUACUCCUACGGGAGGCAGCAGUAGGGAAUCUUCCACAAUGGGCGAAAGCCUGAUGGAGCAACGCCGCGUGUGUGAUGAAGGGUUUCGGCUCGUAAAACACUGUUGUAAGAGAAGAAUGACAUUGAGAGUAACUGUUCAACGUGUGACGGUAUCUUACCAGAAAGGAACGGCUAAAUACGUGCCAGCAGCCGCGGUAAUACGUAUGUUCCAAGCGUUAUCCGGAUUUAUUGGGCGUAAAGCGAGCGCAGACGGUUAUUUAAGUCUGAAGUGAAAGCCCUCAGCUCAACUGAGGAAUUGCUUUGGAAACUGGAUGACUUGAGUGCAGUAGAGGAAAGUGGAACUCCAUGUGUAGCGGUGAAAUGCGUAGAUAUAUGGAAGAACACCAGUGGCGAAGGCGGCUUUCUGGACUGUAACUGACGUUGAGGCUCGAAAGUGUGGGUAGCAAACAGGGAUUAGAUACCCUGGUAGUCCCACCGUAAACGAUGAGUGCUA
Molecule: ribosomal RNA, 859 nt
Filed under: uncultured bacterium
Lineage: Bacteria
Description: bacterial SSU rRNA
Rfam family: Bacterial small subunit ribosomal RNA
Source: RNAcentral